GAUGAACGCUGGCGGCGUGCCUAAUACAUGCAAGUCGAGCGGCAGCGCGAGUAGUUUACUACUUGGCGGCGAGCGGCGGACGGCUGAGUAACGCGUGGGAAUCUGCCCCAAAGUGAGGGAUAAGCACCAGAAAUGGUGUCUAAUACCGCAUAUGAUCUUCGGAUUAAAGCUUUCGAGCGCUUUGGGAGGAGCCCGCGUCGGAUUAGAUUGUUGGUGAGGUAAUGGCUCACCAAGUCGACGAUCCGUAGCUGGUCUGAGAGGAUGAUCAGCCAGACUGGAACUGAGACACGGUCCAGACUCCUACGGGAGGCAGCAGUAAGGAAUCUUCCACAAUGGGCGAAAGCCUGAUGGAGCAACGCCGCGUGCAGGAUGAAGGCCUUCGGGUUGUAAACUGCUUUUAUAAGUGAGGAAUAUGACGGUAACUUAUGAAUAAGGAUCGGCUAACUACGUGCCAGCAGCCGCCGUAACAC
RNAcentral lists this ribosomal RNA (470 nucleotides) under uncultured bacterium. RNAcentral describes it as "bacterial SSU rRNA". It matches the Rfam family "Bacterial small subunit ribosomal RNA", at positions 28 to 526 of the family's 1533-position model. The record is from RNAcentral.